GGGAAUGUCCUGGUAUCGACAGGGAUAGCUUGAGCUUGUAUGGCGAGUCGAGGGAAUCGUCCUCGUAAAAACGAUAAAGCCUUAUAACUGGCAAACAAGACAACAACUUCGCUUUCGCUGCCUAAAAACAGCUAAUAGCGGUUCCGCUCUCCAUCGUCCAUGUGGCAGGGUAGGGACUCAUUUUAAGUGGACUACGCUGAAAUCCACCGUCUGAGGAAAUCGGAAGAGAAUAACCAGACUAGCUGCUUCCAUGCCUGUCAGUAGGCUAAAGAAGUGAGUGAAUCUCAAUCUACUGACUACACUCGUAGAAGUAUAAGUGGCAAUAUCUUUGCACACGGGUUCAACUCCCGUCAUUUCCACUA
RNAcentral lists this transfer-messenger RNA (362 nucleotides) under Neobacillus cucumis. It matches the Rfam family "transfer-messenger RNA". From Rfam's summary of the family: Bacterial tmRNA, also known as 10Sa RNA or SsrA, is named for its dual tRNA and mRNA-like properties. Its role is to liberate the mRNA from a stalled ribosome. Lineage: Bacteria; Bacillati; Bacillota; Bacilli; Caryophanales; Bacillaceae. The record is from RNAcentral.